This 493-nucleotide ribosomal RNA is filed under the name uncultured bacterium. RNAcentral describes it as "partial 16S ribosomal RNA". It matches the Rfam family "Bacterial small subunit ribosomal RNA", at positions 30 to 523 of the family's 1533-position model. The record is from RNAcentral.
AUUGAACGCUGGCGGCAUGCUUUACACAUGCAAGUCGAACGGUAACAGGUUAAGCUGACGAGUGGCGAACGGGUGAGUAAUGCAUCGGAACGUGCCCGGUCGUGGGGGAUAACGCAGCGAAAGCUGCGCUAAUACCGCAUACGAUCUAAGGAUGAAGGCGGGGGACCGUAAGGCCUCCCGCGUUCGGAGCGGCCGAUGUCAGAUUAGGUAGUUGGUUGGGUAAAGGCUCACCAAGCAAACCAUCUGUAGCUGGUCUGAGAGGACGACCAGCCACACUGGGACUGAGACACGGCCCAGACUCCUCCGGGAGGCAGCAGUGGGGAAUUUUGGACAAUGGGCGAAAGCCUGAUCCAGCAAUGCCGCGUGCAGGAAGAAGGCCUUCGGGUUGUAAACUUCUUUUGUACGGAGCGAAAAGGUCUCCUCUAAUACAGGGGGCUCAUGACGGUACCGUAAGAAUAAGCACCGGCUAACUACGUGCCAGCCGCCGCGGUAA